RNAcentral lists this ribosomal RNA (517 nucleotides) under Agromyces indicus. RNAcentral's name for it is "bacterial SSU rRNA". It matches the Rfam family "Bacterial small subunit ribosomal RNA", at positions 381 to 904 of the family's 1533-position model. Lineage: Bacteria; Bacillati; Actinomycetota; Actinomycetes; Micrococcales; Microbacteriaceae. The record is from RNAcentral.
GCCUGAUGCAGCAACGCCGCGUGCGGGAUGACGGCCUUCGGGUUGUAAACCGCUUUUAGUAGGGAAGAAGGGCUUCGGCUUGACGGUACCUGCAGAAAAAGGACCGGCUAACUACGUGCCAGCAGCCGCGGUAAUACGUAGGGUCCGAGCGUUGUCCGGAAUUAUUGGGCGUAGAGAGCUCGUAGGCGGUUUGUCGCGUCUGCUGUGAAAACUAGAGGCUCAACCUCUAGCCUGCAGUGGGUACGGGCAGACUUGAGUGGUGUAGGGGAGACUGGAAUUCCUGGUGUAGCGGUGGAAUGCGCAGAUAUCAGGAGGAACACCGAUGGCGAAGGCAGGUCUCUGGGCACUUGCUGACGCUGAGGAGCGAAAGCGUGGGGAGCGAACAGGAUUAGAUACCCUGGUAGUCCACGCCGUAAACGUUGGGCGCUAGAUGUGGGGACCUUUCCACGGUUUCCGUGUCGUAGCUAACGCAUUAAGCGCACCGCCUGGGGAGUACGGCCGCAAGGCUAAAACUCAA